Molecule: ribosomal RNA, 201 nt
Filed under: uncultured bacterium
Lineage: Bacteria
Description: partial 16S ribosomal RNA
Rfam family: Bacterial small subunit ribosomal RNA
Source: RNAcentral
ACGCUCGACACCUACUGGAGGCAGCAGUGGGGAAUAUUGGGCAAUGGGCGCAAGCCUGACCCAGCAACGCCGCGUGAAGGAAGAAGGCCCUCGGGUUGUAAACUUCUUUUAACAGGGACGAAGCAAGUGACGGUACCUGUUGAAUAAGCCACGGCUAACUACGUGUCAGCAGCCGCGGUAAUCUGAGCGGGCUGGCAAGGC